Molecule: ribosomal RNA, 347 nt
Filed under: uncultured bacterium
Lineage: Bacteria
Description: partial 16S ribosomal RNA
Rfam family: Bacterial small subunit ribosomal RNA
Source: RNAcentral
CCUACGGGUGGCAGCAGUGAGGAAUAUUGGUCAAUGGGCUUACGCCUGAACCAGCCAAGUCGCGUGAGGGAAGACUGCCCUAUGGGGUGUAAACCUCUUUUGUCAGGGAGCAACGCCGGCUACGUGUAGCCGGACGGAGAGUACCUGAAGAAAAAGCAGCGGCGAACUCCGUGCCAGCAGCCGCGGGAAUAAGGAGGAUGCGAGCGUUAUCCGGAUUGAUUGGGUGUAAGGGGUGCGUAGGCGGAAUGCCAAGUCAGCGGUAAAAUCGCGGGCCUCAACCUCGCUCCGCCGUUGAAACUGGCGUUCUUGAGUGGGCGAGAAGUAUGCGGACUGCGUGGUGUAGCGGU